ACCUUAGAAACCAACUAAGUUUGCUAUUGGUAUGAGCUUUUGUGUGCAUGCAUACUUCUUCAGAUACAUGCACACGAAAACUCAUACCAAUAACAAACUUAGCUGGUCUCUAAGGU
RNAcentral lists this microRNA precursor (116 nucleotides) under Podarcis lilfordi (Lilford's wall lizard). The record is from RNAcentral. Lineage: Eukaryota; Metazoa; Chordata; Lepidosauria; Squamata; Lacertidae.